Molecule: long non-coding RNA, 232 nt
Filed under: Mytilus galloprovincialis (Mediterranean mussel)
Lineage: Eukaryota; Metazoa; Mollusca; Bivalvia; Mytilida; Mytilidae
Source: RNAcentral
CUGAACGACGACAUAUUAACAAAAAUCGACAUAGAAAAUUAUGAUUUGAAACUUUUAAAAUAAACACAGCCGAAUUUUUUCGCCUCUUCCAAGUCAGGAUCCUCUGGCUUUUGUUAGUCUGAUUUUAUGAUUUUUAACUUUUAGUUUCUUUUAUAUGUUUAGGAGUUUAGUAUAACGUCCAUUAUCACUAAAAUAGUACACAAUUUUGUUUAGGGGCUAGCUGAAUGACGAC